UACGUAGGGUGCAAGCGUUAAUCGGAAUUACUGGGCGUAAAGCGUGCGCAGGCGGUUGUGGAAGAGCGAUGUGAAAUCCCCGGGCUUAACCUGGGAAUGGCAUUGGUGACUGCACGGCUAGAGUGUGUCAGAGGGGGGUAGAAUUCCACGUGUAGCAGUGAAAUGCGUAGAGAUGUGGAGGAAUACCGAUGGCGAAGGCAGCCCCCUGGGAUAACACUGACGCUCAUGCACGAAAGCGUGGGGAGCAAACAGG
Molecule: ribosomal RNA, 253 nt
Filed under: uncultured bacterium
Lineage: Bacteria
Description: partial 16S ribosomal RNA
Rfam family: Bacterial small subunit ribosomal RNA
Source: RNAcentral